This 72-nucleotide transfer RNA is filed under the name Mesocricetus auratus (golden hamster). It matches the Rfam family "tRNA". Rfam says of the family: Transfer RNA (tRNA) molecules are approximately 80 nucleotides in length. Their secondary structure includes four short double-helical elements and three loops (D, anti-codon, and T loops). The record is from Rfam by way of RNAcentral. Lineage: Eukaryota; Metazoa; Chordata; Mammalia; Rodentia; Cricetidae.
GGGGAGGUGGCUCAGUGGUUAUGAGCACUGGAUGCUCUUCCAGAGGAUCUGGGUUCAAUCUCAGCAACCACA